Molecule: ribosomal RNA, 480 nt
Filed under: uncultured bacterium
Lineage: Bacteria
Description: partial 16S ribosomal RNA
Rfam family: Bacterial small subunit ribosomal RNA
Source: RNAcentral
GACGAACGCUGGCGGCGUGCUUAACACAUGCAAGUCGAACGAUGAACCUCGACAUGACAUCUUCGGAAGGAUUUCUGAGAGGAUUAGUGGCGAACGGGUGAGUAACGCGUGAGCUACCUGCCUUAGACAAGGGGAUAGCUUCGGGCAACCGUGAUUAAUACCCUAUGAGACUCCAUUUAAGAGUGUAGGCGAAGCUAAAGCUAUUGCGGUCUAAGCUGGGCUCGCGUCUGAUUAGCUAGUUGGUGAGAUAAAAGCCCACCAAGGCGACGAUCAGUAACCGGCUUGAGAGAGUGAACGGUCACGUUGGAACUGAGGCACGGUCCAAACGCCGACGGGAGACAGCAGUAUAGUAUAUUGCACAAUGGGGGCAAACCUGGUGCAGCAACGCCGCGGGAGCGAUGAAGGAGUUCGUUUCGUAAAGCUCUGUCCUUGGAGAAGAGAAUGACGGUAACCAAUGAGGAAGCACCGGCUAAAUACGUG